RNAcentral lists this ribosomal RNA (860 nucleotides) under uncultured bacterium. Its description in RNAcentral is "bacterial SSU rRNA". It matches the Rfam family "Bacterial small subunit ribosomal RNA", at positions 72 to 975 of the family's 1533-position model. The record is from RNAcentral.
CUCAGCAAUGAGCACCGGCGGAAGGGUGAGGAAUCCAUUCGAACGUACCCCGAGGUGGGGGAUAAGCAUGGGAAACUGUGCGUAAUACCCCAUAAGCUCUACGGAGGAAAGCCUCGGCGCCUUGGGAGCGGCGAAUGUCCUAUCAGGUAGUUGGCGGGGUAAUGGCCCACCAAGCCUUCGACGGGUAGCAGGUGUGAGAGCACGGCCUGCCACAUCGGGACUGAGACACUGCCCGGACUCCUACGGGAGGCUGCAGUAACGAAUAUUCCGCAAUGCGCGAAAGCGUGACGGAGCGACGCCGCGUGCAGGAUGAAGCGGCUUUGCCGUGUAAACUGCUGUCAGGGGCUACUAAUACUGAAGAGCCCCAGAGGAAGGGCCGGCUAAUCCUGUGCCAGCAGCCGCGGUAAUACAGGAGGCCCGAGCGUUAAUCGGAAUCACUGGGCUUAAAGGGUGCGUAGGCGGGUCAGUAAGAGUGUCGUGAAAUCCCUCGGCUCAACCGGGGAACUGCGGCGCAGACUGCUGAUCUUGAGGAAGCUAGGGGUCGCUGGAACGCUCGGUGGAGCGGUGAAAUGCGUUGAUAUCGAGCGGAACGCCGAUGGUGAAGACAGGCGACUGGGGCUUUCCUGACGCUGAGGCACGAAAGCGUGGGGAUCAAACAGGAUUAGAUACCCUGGUAGUCCACGCUGUAAACGAUGCACACUAGAUCGGUGCAGGUUUGACCCUGUGCUGGUCGGAGAGAAAUUGUUAAGUGUGCCGCCUGGGAAGUACGGUCGCAAGGCUAAAACUCAAAGGAAUUGACGGGGGCUCACACAAGCGGUGGAGCAUGUUGCUUAAUUCGAAGCAACGCGAAGAACCUUACC